Molecule: long non-coding RNA, 903 nt
Organism: Puntigrus tetrazona (Sumatra barb)
Lineage: Eukaryota; Metazoa; Chordata; Actinopteri; Cypriniformes; Cyprinidae
Exons: 4
Source: RefSeq, a predicted model, not a curated record
AUGUGUGAAGGACACCUAACAGCUUCUCUAGUAUUACUACUUAAAAUAAUCGGCUAAGUUACAGGUUUUACAAUCAAACUUUAUUUUUGCCUGUAGUGCUUUGUAUUGUAACCAAAAAAAUAAGAGUUUAUUAAAAGUAAACUCUCACGAGAGCCAAUUGUAACUAAAAACUGAGCUUCAAACAAGGGAGUCUUCUACAUCAUUCCUGAAGAACUUCAACCUGCGGGCAACAUACAACUGAUGCUCAAUAAACACAACUCACUACAGCUUCUCCAGUCUUGCUCCUUACAAGACAAUCAACAGCAGUUGGAGUGUGUUUUUAUGAGUUGAUGGCUGUAGAAAAACAUGACGCUGAAAGCUUUCCUUUGACUGAUGAAACAUGAUGAAACAUAAACCCACUGGACAGGUUCUAACAUAAUUUGCUUUCUCAGGAACUUCUGAAACGAUGGCUCAACUUAACAUCAGCAUCAAUGACUCGGCUGCAUCCGAUGAUGAUUUACUCUUUAGGAAUUUAAUGGAACUCCAAAGUACUCAUUUUAUGGAAGGUUAUCCAGAACUUGUAUAUAUCCGUGUCCUUUCAGUCAUUGAGAUCCUAGUCAUGAUCUUAACUCUGAUCGCCUUGUGUUUCAUCAUCAAAUCCAGGCCUGCUGCUGCAGUUUUUGUUAGUAAUUUAAUACUUUCAGAUCUCGUACAGGUCAUUAGUAUAUUAAUAGCAGCAACAAUCUCAUGGCAUGAGAGACUGGUUCCGGCAUAUAACUAUUCUUUGAUGGUGGGUCUGUAUUUUAUGGCAUGUGUUGCUUUUGAACGAUAUCUUCUGAUUUGUCAUCCUAUCUGGUACAAAUCUCACCAAUCACUCAAACUCUCUUGUUUUAUUUCUGUGAUCAUCUGGUUUGUGCCUCUAAC